UACGUAGGUGGCUAGCGUUGUCCGGAUUUACUGGGCGUAAAGAGCGCGCAGGCGGUCGUUCAAGUCGAGUGUGAAAGCCCCCGGCUCAACUGGGGAGGGUCACUCGAUACUGAUCGACUCGAAGGCAGAAGAGGGAAGCGGAAUUCCCGGUGUAGUGGUGAAAUGCGUAGAUAUCGGGAGGAACACCAGUGGCGAAGGCGGCAUCCUGGACCGGCAUUGACGCUGAGGCGCGAAAGCCAGGGGAGCAAACGGG
Molecule: ribosomal RNA, 253 nt
Filed under: uncultured bacterium
Lineage: Bacteria
Description: partial 16S ribosomal RNA
Rfam family: Bacterial small subunit ribosomal RNA
Source: RNAcentral